AGAAGUCGUAACAAGGUUUCCGUAGGUGAACCUGCGGAAGGAUCAUUGG
Molecule: ribosomal RNA, 49 nt
Filed under: Goodenia coerulea
Lineage: Eukaryota; Viridiplantae; Streptophyta; Magnoliopsida; Asterales; Goodeniaceae
Description: partial 18S small subunit ribosomal RNA
Rfam family: Eukaryotic small subunit ribosomal RNA
Source: RNAcentral